GGAAGCAUGCCCGAGCAUUAAAAGGAUUACUUUGAUAGAGUACACAACAGGGGUUAAAAUCCCCUUACUUCC
Molecule: transfer RNA, 72 nt
Filed under: Dibamus sp. TMT-2004a
Lineage: Eukaryota; Metazoa; Chordata; Lepidosauria; Squamata; Dibamidae
Description: tRNA-Ile
Rfam family: tRNA
About the family: Transfer RNA (tRNA) molecules are approximately 80 nucleotides in length. Their secondary structure includes four short double-helical elements and three loops (D, anti-codon, and T loops).
Source: RNAcentral